Molecule: RNA transcript, 1424 nt
Organism: Macaca mulatta (Rhesus monkey)
Lineage: Eukaryota; Metazoa; Chordata; Mammalia; Primates; Cercopithecidae
Gene name: p53 apoptosis effector related to PMP-22 pseudogene
Source: RefSeq, a predicted model, not a curated record
GAAGGCUGAGGCAGGAGAAUUGCUUGAACCCUGGAGGCAGAGGUUGCAGUGAGCCGAGAUUGUGCCACUACACUUCACCCUGGGUGACAGUGAGACUCCAUCUCAAACAAACACCUCCAAUGCUCUUUCUCAAAUACCAUGGCUACCCUUCUUCCUGCUUUGCUUCAUCUGUCACACAAGUAAUAUAUACUCAUUAAAGAAAAAGACAAGCAAAAUGAAAACAAAAGUCAUCCCUAAUCCCACUGCUGAAGAGUUACUAUCUUACCAACAUUUUUCUAAGCAUAUGUACAACUUUAAAACAAGCACAAAAGAAUAAUAUUGCGGCGGGGACGGUGUCUCACGCCUGUAGUCCCAACACUUUGGGAGGCCCAGGCGGGUGGAUCACUUGAGGCCAGGAUUUCGAGACCAGCCUGGCCAACAUGGUGAAACCCUGUCUAUAUUAAAAAUACAACAAGGAGGGACUCCCCGCCGCCGCCUGGGCCCGGCCCCACACCGUGGGUCGACGUGAUCCGCUGCAGCCUGGCCUGCGAGCGCUGCAGCUGGAUCCUGACCCUGCUCCUACUCAGCGCCAUCGCCUUUGACAUCAUAGCCCUGGCCGGCCGCGGCAGGCGGCAGUCAAGCGACCACGUCCAGACGUCCUUGCUAUGGUGGAGAUGUUUCCACGAGGGCAGCGACGGCAGCGGGUCCUAAGAGGACGGCUGCUAGAGCCUCAUGGAGUACGCGUUGGGUAGAGCAGCAGCUGCCAUGCUCUUCUGGGGCUUCAGCAUCCUGGUGAUCUGUUUCAUCCUCUCCUUCUUCUUCAUCCUGUGUGUACCCCAGAUGCUUGUCUUCCUAAGAGUGAUUGGAGGUCUCUUUGUCUUGGUUGCUGUGUUCCAGAUCAUCUCCCUGGUAAUUUACCCCGUGAAGUACACCCAAACCUUCAACCUUCAGGCCAGCCCUUGCUGUCACUUACAUCUAUAACUGGCCCUACGGCUUUGGGUGGGCAGCCACGAUUAUCCUCAUCAGCUGCGCUUUCUUCUGCUACUGCCUCCCCAACAAUGAAGAUGACCUCCUGGGCAAUACCAAGCCUAAGGACUUCUACACAUCUGCCUAACUUGGGAAUGAGCGUGGGAGAAAAUCGCCACUGCCAAGAUGGAUUCCAGAAAAAGAAACUGUUUGUCUAGGCUACUUUGAACCUAUUUUUUGGCAGUGUUCAUAGUCAAAAAUGCUAAAAUAAUUUGGGAGAAAAUAUUUUUAAAGUAGUGUUAUAGUUUUAUGUUCACCUUUUAUUAUGUUUGGUGAAGUUGUGUAUUUUCACUAAUUACCUAUAUUAUGCCAAUAUUUCUUUAUAUCUACCCAUAACAUUGAUGCUACAUUUGUAAGAUAAUAUGAACAUGAAACUUAACACUUUAUAAGGUAAAAAUGAGAUGGUUUCCAAGAUUUAA